Molecule: long non-coding RNA, 1773 nt
Organism: Lagopus leucura (white-tailed ptarmigan)
Lineage: Eukaryota; Metazoa; Chordata; Aves; Galliformes; Phasianidae
Exons: 2
Source: RefSeq, a predicted model, not a curated record
UGUUUAUUAGUUCUUCUUCCGAUUCGAUUUCAGAUUCUAUUUCCUUCAGAUACCAAUUAAUAAGUUCGCUUUUCUUUAAUGACGAGUCAUCCUCUUCUGCAAAUAAAAGUUAUACUUAAAAAAAAUCUCAUUACAAUGCCGUUCCACAUAAUUAGAAUAAGUGUUACUACAGUAUGAUACCUCUCAAAUCAUAAAAGAAAAGGAUUUCUGUGUUAACAGUUAUAAUGCUGAAAAGAUAAUCACACAACAGCCUGUCAGGCUCCCUUGCUGUUCUUGAAAUAUGUUUUGUACAGAAGACUGGUGUAUCAUGGUUUAAUUUGAGACAGAUUGAGAAUUUCAUCCUUCAGCUGUAUGCAUCCAUGAGGUUCACAAAUUACACGAGCAGCCUAGCAAACACAUCGGACUGAAGCUUCAAGAACAAGCAGCAACGAGGACUUGUAGCACCUUUUUCUGAGUAAGGACGAAAGAUCACCAUCACACAAAGAUUAAGAAUUCAUCCUUCCCUUGUAAAUGUCAGCAAAGAGACAACUCACACGUGGUGAUGCUACUCAGUCUGCCAACUUUUUAAUAAUUCUUACCUUCCUCUGCUUUUCUGAGGUGCAACACAAGAAGAUUAGAAAUUCGUCGGUACUCAGAGAAGCCCAGCCUAAGAGAAGCUUUGGGUGCUGCAUCCUUGUUCACGUCCUCAGAAUGGCCACCUAUCCCAUUCACAAGACCAUUGACCCCAGCUGGAGCUUCUGCUUCCCCUGUUUGGACACACGAUCAACUCUGUAAUGCCUUUCAGCUGGCUCAUCUGAGCCACUAAAUAGUGCUGCACUCACCAGUCAGGCAAGGGGAGCACACAAGAAGGCUAAAGUAAGAGAGUUAAGGAGCUAAGAUUCCUAGACCUUGUGAGAAGAAAAACAGGUGGGAAAUUGAAGAGAAGCAUACACACAAACAAGACUCACCCGUGGGUUUGUUGGUGCAACGUAACAGGCUAAAAAGACCAGUUUGUAGGACAGCUCCCUGACUCCAAGGGCACGAAGUCCCCGGACUCCUUCAGCUUCAUAGCCCUCCGUCCCACUAACCCGUGAGCCAGUUUCUGCACGAACCCCUGCCAAGAGAAUACAAGUCAGAACAGCUGCAACCAGAACAAGCUGCAUGGCAUCGAGGUGAUGAGCAGUCGCAACAAACCUGGCGUUGACAGCUGAGCCACAUCAGGCACAACAAUCAGUGAUCCUGUGAAGUCACAUUUGUCACCUGCUUGAGCAGAUUCCACUGCUUCUGCACGCAGGAUCACUUCCAUGCUUCGAGGAAUGCUGCCCCGGGGCAGCUCGGCCUGUGUCUCUUGAAUGCGAACCUGAGGAGGUACAGAGCAUUAAGCACUCAGAUGUCACCAGAUCUGGAAAUGCUUUGAAAGCUAAGCUGCUAACAAAUGCAGUAGGAAGCAUUUGCUUGCAACCAUCUGAUUCAAUCAGGUGUCUUGGGAAGCUUAAGAGGAUUCACAGGGACCACAGUGCCAAAUCUGAAGUCAAGGAAAAGCACUAAGGCCACUCAGAUUCUACUCAGUGCAACGCUUUAUCGUGAGAUGCAAUGUGCUGAGGAUCCUGCAGAGUAAAUCCACGUGAAAGAGUGAAACACCGCAGAUACAAACAAGACACUUCUUUUCAGACUUGCAUGAAAUAAUUAUGCAUGACAUAUCUGUGACAGCAGACUGACAAAGGCUUGAAUACGUGGGUUUUCAGUGGCUUGCUUACCUAAUAAAUGUCCUGCAAUAAAACCGUUUAGAUUCUA